RNAcentral lists this ribosomal RNA (164 nucleotides) under Ensete ventricosum. Its description in RNAcentral is "5.8S ribosomal RNA". It matches the Rfam family "5.8S ribosomal RNA". Rfam says of the family: 5.8S ribosomal RNA (5.8S rRNA) is a component of the large subunit of the eukaryotic ribosome. It is transcribed by RNA polymerase I as part of the 45S precursor that also contains 18S and 28S rRNA. Functionally, it is thought that 5.8S rRNA may be involved in ribosome translocation. Lineage: Eukaryota; Viridiplantae; Streptophyta; Magnoliopsida; Zingiberales; Musaceae. RNAcentral also lists the same sequence under 1 other name. The record is from RNAcentral.
GAUGACUCUCGGCAACGGAUAUCUCGGCUCUUGCAUCGAUGAAGAACGUAGCGAAAUGCGAUACCUGGUGUGAAUUGCAGAAUCCCGUGAACCAUCGAGUCUUUGAACGCAAGUUGCGCCCGAGGCCAUCCGGCCAAGGGCACGCCUGCCUGGGCGUCACGCUU